RNAcentral lists this ribosomal RNA (497 nucleotides) under uncultured bacterium. RNAcentral's name for it is "partial 16S ribosomal RNA". It matches the Rfam family "Bacterial small subunit ribosomal RNA", at positions 28 to 507 of the family's 1533-position model. The record is from RNAcentral.
GAUGAACGCUGGCGGCGUGCCUAAUACAUGCAAGUCGAGCGAACAGACGAGGAGCUUGCUCCUCUGACGUUAGCGGCGGACGGGUGAGUAACACGUGGAUAACCUACCUAUAAGACUGGGAUAACUUCGGGAAACCGGAGCUAAUACCGGAUAAUAUAUUGAACCGCGUGGUUCAAUAGUGAAAGACGGUUUUGCUGUCACUUAUAGAUGGAUCCGCGCCGCAUUAGCUAGUUGGUAAGGUAACGGCUUACCAAGGCAACGAUGCGUAGCCGACCUGAGAGGGUGAUCGGCCACACUGGAACUGAGACACGGUCCAGACUCCUACGGGAGGCAGCAGUAGGGAAUCUUCCGCAAUGGGCGAAAGCCUGACGGAGCAACGCCGCGUGAGUGAUGAAGGUCUUCGGAUCGUAAAACUCUGUUAUUAGGGAAGAACUAAUGUGUAAGUAACUAUGCACGUCUUGACGGUACCUAAUCAGAAAGCCACGGCUAACUACGUG